GACGAACGCUGGCGGCGUGCCUAAUACAUGCAAGUAGAACGCACAGUUUAUACCGUAGCUUGCUACACCAUAGACUGUGAGUUGCGAACGGGUGAGUAACGCGUAGGUAACCUGCCUGGUAGCGGGGGAUAACUAUUGGAAACGAUAGCUAAUACCGCAUAAUAUUGAUUAUUGCAUGAUAAUUAAUUGAAAGGUGCAAUUGCACCACUACCAGAUGGACCUGCGUUGUAUUAGCUAGUAGGUGAGGUAACGGCUCACCUAGGCGACGAUACAUAGCCGACCUGAGAGAGUGAUCGGCCACACUGGGACUGAGACACGGCCCAGACUCCUACGGGAGGCAGCAGUAGGGAAUCUUCGGCAAUGGACGAAAGUCUGACCGAGCAACGCCGCGUGAGUGAAGAAGGUUUUCGGAUCGUAAAGCUCGGUUGUAAGAGAAGAACGGGUGUGAGAGUGGAAAGUUCACACUGUGACGGUAUCUUACCAGAAAGGGACGGCUAACUACGUG
Molecule: ribosomal RNA, 505 nt
Filed under: uncultured bacterium
Lineage: Bacteria
Description: partial 16S ribosomal RNA
Rfam family: Bacterial small subunit ribosomal RNA
Source: RNAcentral